AAUGAACGCUGGCGGCAUGCCUAACACAUGCAAGUCGAACGAGACCUUCGGGUCUAGUGGCGCACGGGUGCGUAACGCGUGGGAAUCUGCCCUUGGGUUCGGGAAUAACAGUUAGAAAUGACUGCUAAUACCGAAUGAUGUCGUAAGACCAAAGAUUCAUCGCCCAGGGAUGAGCCCGCGUAGGAUUAGCUAGUUGGUGGGGUAACGGCCCACCAAGCCAACGAUCAGAACUGGUGUGAGAGCACGACCAGUCACACGGGCACUGAGACACGGGCCCGACUCCUACGGGAGGCAGCAGUAAGGAAUAUUGGUCAAUGGACGAAAGUCUGAACCAGCCAUGCCGCGUGAAGGAUGAAGGCCCUCU
Molecule: ribosomal RNA, 364 nt
Filed under: uncultured bacterium
Lineage: Bacteria
Description: bacterial SSU rRNA
Rfam family: Bacterial small subunit ribosomal RNA
Source: RNAcentral